GCCACUGUCUCACCCUACUGCUGAUAAAAAUAGCAGUAGCAGUAACCGUAUGUUUUACACCCCUACUUAUCUCCUUCUUCUUUCAGCUUUCUAGUUUUACUGCUGGCUGUCAGGAUAAAUGACCUGAUGAAGGACACACAUUUCUCACACAUUCAGAAAUCUUCUGUCAAACCCGAAGCGUUCCGGCACUUGUGGUGGAGAGCAGUGGUUCUCGGGAGAGUCACAAUCCAAAAAAAGCCUCACAGAGGAAGAUCUUGACUCUAAGUGUCUCUCAUAACCCCAGAGAGAUGCCAGACAAGAUGGAAGUCCGCAAAUGCCAGAAAGCUCUUUUGAGUACAUACAGUUUUGUGAAAAGCAUUUGCAGGGAACACAAUCUUCCCAGAGGAAGUUACGAAAGAACAUACAGUUGUUAUUCUGUGUUAAUGGGUGACAAAAAGAGCCAUAUGAUGAUUGGCUGAGAAAAAAACACCCACCUUUUCAUGCCCCAGCAUUCCUCUCUCAGUAAUAUGAGUUCAUAUUUCAAUAUACUUGUGUAGAAUGGCUUUGAAUUUUUGCUCUUUUAUUCCUGAAAACGCUCCAGCUGGACUCAACAAAUGAAUGCGAAGAAUCCAAAACCAGAAUCUGAUGACUUGGAGAAAGAUAUUGCAUUACUUUGACUAAAUUACAAUUAUGUGACUUCCUUUAGGGCACUAUAAAUAGAUGAGUACAGAUGAUGGUUAUAAUAAAGCAAGAAAUGGGUUCCAUCCCUGUUUAUGCACUAUAAUACGUAGAGUUUAUUGACAAACACAACAGUGAGAUUUAUUUAAAUGAAUAGUUUGUGAAUUAUUUAUUGACCUUAACAUUGUCCCCAGCCAUAUGACUUGUCUUGAAUUCCAACGUGAAACACAAAAGAAGCUUUGAAUAAUAUUCAUGCAGAUCUUUUUCAUACAAUAAAUACAGACAAGUUUUGUUCCAAAUAAAACAUCAUAUCAUAUGAAGUUAUAUGUUACUGAAAUUUAAAUUGACUAAAACAUAUCUGCUGCACUAUCAAUUCUCAAUAACAAAUCAACAUAUUCAAAAUUGAUUUUUAGACACAUAGCAACCAUUUAUAUUAUGUUGAGUAGUCAUUUUGCAUUCUUGGGUCAACUAUUCAUUUUAAAUUGCUAAGCCCACCUUAAUAAAUUCAUAGGAUGUGUUUUAAGUUUAAUAAAGGACAUUUCACAUCGCACCAACAGACUAAAACCAACGCAGACAGACGAACGAGCAAAGUACAUAACUUCUCUAACAUUCCAAGAUCCGACAAACACCUAUUCAACAUGUUCAAAUGGCGAAAACGUGCCAACCAAUGGGGUAACACACCAAUCAGACAAAACCAAACGAAUGUGUCUGUUGCCGUUUGUGAAUUGUGAAUUGGCCUUAAAACACUAUUUUAUGUAACAUUUCAAUAUGAUACACUCCAUUAUAUUAGACAAACUCAAUUCAAAGGUUAAUUUAACUAUGAAGUACAAAAAAAAAAAAAGAGUCUAUACAAGUUUUAGGCUGUUUAAUUUGAGUAAUUUAACAUUUCAAACAGAACAAACAAAGAACUCACAAUUGUAAGUCUGGUCAUGUGCGGACAAGAUGGGAAGAAACAAAAAAUGUACCCAAAAGUUGAUCUGCAACCAUCAACACCCUACAAUUAAAAGAUUUUUGAGUUAAGCCAACACGGAUUUGUUAUAAUACAAAGCACAGUUAUCUACACAGGACAUACUGAACUUGUACCACACCUUUUGACCUGUUGUCUGAACUUACGUCAAAACAAGUUUGUUUGAAUUAGAUGGUGUUUUCAAAAAUUCAUCUAUACAAAAAGGUUGUAUCAUGCUACCAAAACAUUUUGAGUUCAGUCAUCUUGAACCGUUUUAUACUGUAUGAUGGCAAAAUAUAACUUAUUUUUUUUUUGCUAGUGAUAUGAUCUUAUAUCUAUUGCAAAUAAUAACAACAUUUUCAGUGUAGAAAACUGAAGUAUAUAACCAGGCCCGUAGCCAGCUAUGAGGUCACCGAGGUCCGAACCUCGGUAAAUUUUUCAUGUUCAAAAAUAAAAUUUGUUCUCUGAAUGACCAAUUUGCUAUUAAACUCCUCAUAUGUCUGUAUGUAUAAUUCAGUUUAGACAGUUUGCAAGAAUGUUUAGCGUCCGUGGUAUGAAAAUGAUCGCUGCGGGACGCUGGCGGAGUGAACGAGGCUUGAGAGAGUUGCGAGUGAGGACGCGAGCGCAGUCUCCGUGUUGCCAAAUCCAGCUAAUAUGCACGUUUUUGACUUGUCUUUCCCACUUAAUUUGACACUUUAGAAAGUUAAUAAUGUAGGACCUUGCGGUUUAGGGUCAGCGAUAUCUUUAUCUUAUCUUAUUUGCAAAAGAUUUGUAAUAUAUUCAGUUUAUUUUUAUUUACUGAUGGGCUUUUGCUCAUCUUAAUAGCAAUAUCUGGCAACACUGCAUCGCCGUAAUCACCAGUAAUCAAAAAAGCCCAUUUCUGACAUUCGAUAAGGGAAACGCAAAAAAAAAAAAAAAAAAAAUUCAUAUUAUCUGUCAGAAACGUUAUCAACGCUGUCAAAACAGUAGCAUUUAACACUAGUGCAGAGAUCUGUAGAAAAAGUAGGUUACAGAAUAAAAUGAAAUAUGCAAACACUAUGAAGAAGUAUAUGCCAAGUCAUUCAUAGUAGUUAAAUUUUCACAAAUCAUGCUAUAAACAUUUAUAAGAGCACUAGACAAAGUUAUCAGCUACACCGCAAUGGUUAUAAAUAAAAACUAUAACAGUAUUGUUGCAUGUAUAAUAAACAACUGAUAAAAUUAUCCACCCCAUAACUAUAGAAAUGUAUUAACAAAUUUUGAUGCAAUAAAUAGGGUAUGAUUUAAAAAUUAAAAUCCCUCCAAAACAGAGAAAACUUCUUUCUUUCACAAAAAUUUCUGUCUAUUUUAAAGUGUUAAUAGUGUAUAAUGAGUUGUAUAUAUAUAGGGGUUAUUAUAGCACAAUUCUAUAAUAAGAGGUUAUUAUAGCAUCCAAUCUCCCCCCAACCAUCCCCCCAUCCGGACCUCACUAAUUUUCAAAGCCUGGCUACGGCCAUGUAUAUAACUGCUUUGAACGCCAUGUUGACAGCAUGAAGUCAUGUGUGCAGUUAUUACUACCUCAGCUGACUGCAGACCAGCUGCAUGACAUACACAGAACACAUAAAAAGAAACACGCAUUGCUCAUUUAGUUUCUGUCAUGUGCACUUCUAAACACUCGGCCAUCAAUCACAGUAUCCUACAUCUGUCUGUCUUUGUCACCUUAUGGUAGUUUGUGCAACCUAUUGUCACGAGACAGUGAAUGAAAAUAACCUGUAACUUCUACAUGACCAUCUCUCAUAAGGGGUAUGACUGAGUCUGCUGUGAUUACUGUAUGUAUAUUGUGACAACUGAACUUUUUAAUAAUAGUCUCUUAGUAAGAACAGAUGUAGUAGGUUGACUGUUUUAAAUGUUUCCAUGUUUUAUGGGGUCUUUAUAUAGACAUAAUGUUUUUCAUACUGUACAAACAUUUCCAGAAUACCACAAUUUUAUGUUCUAAUCAAAUAUCUACCCACCCUGAAACACUGUAAAAUUGUGCACUGACUUGUUGUCUUGAAGGUUGUGUUGAUGUUUAUGCAAGUGCAACAAUCGCCAGCACCAGGAGAAUAUUGUCAUCACAUGUGACCCUGGACCACAAAACCAGUCGCUGGGGUAUAUUUGUAACAAUAGCCAAAAAUACAUUGCAUGGGUCAAAAUUAUUGAUUUUUAUUUAUUUAUUUAUGCCAAAAAUCAUUAGGAUAUUAAGUAAAGAUCAUGUUCCAUGAAGAUAUUUAGUAAAUUUCCUACUGUAAAUAUAUCACAACUUUUGAUCAGUAAUAUGCAUUGCUAAGAACUUCAUUUGGACAACUUUAAAGGCGAUUUUCUCAAUAUUUUGAUUUUUUUUGCACCCUCAGAUUCCAGAUUUUUAAAUAGUUGUAUCUCGGCCAAAUAUUGUCUGAUAUUGUCUAAUAUUUAUUCAGCUUUCAGAUGAUGUAUAAAUCUCAGUUUCGAAAAAUUGAUCCUUAUGACUGAUUUUGUGGUCCAGGGUCACAUAUACUGUCUGCUUGCUGACAGGCACAUCCACACCAAAGCAACAUUCAGACAGUAAAUGUAGUGCAUGUGGGAUAAAUCAACAUAUUAUUCUGUCUUGUAUUAAUUUGCAGAAAGAAAGAGAGAGAAAGAAAUCAGUUCCCAGAUGGGAUGUGCAGCUUACAGCUAAAUUUGGUUGACAAUUCACAUUUUAGUGCACACACAGUUCAGUAUGGGAGUGACAACCGAAUUGACCACGAAAAUCCAGGUAGUGACAACGGCCUUUACAGAAAUUACAUGCGGUGUGUAAAAAACCGAAGUCAACAACGAAUUCAAAGGUGUAUCAGAAUUGUGGUGCAAGAAAUCACAGGGAACAUGGUAGGUUUUGACACGGUGUUGCCAGAUUUUACUAUAAAAACGGCAAAUAAGAUCCAAACAUGUUAUCUUGGAAAUAAGCCACAUACCAAAAUAUCAUGACCUGCACCUGCCUAAUUAAUCAUCUCCAUAAAAUGGACUGAUUUAUGACAACAAUAAGCCCAACGAUGCUUAAUAAGUGUUGCUUAUAAUAAGUGGACAUGGCAACCCUUCUAGAGCAAGUUCUGCAAAGUAGCCUUCCAAACCGUAAACACGAUCGCUCUGUCGACAGUGGUUUAAUUCAAAUCGCCAAAUACAGUAUAUCAAGCGUUCGGUUGCUGUAAUAUUACUUUUGGCAAAAUAGCGGAGAUCGACCAAAUGCACAAGACGGCAAAAUGUUGCAAUUGUUACAACGGUGUCAGCAGUUGCAAUUUCAAGAGCAAAUUCUUUUCCUAUUCACACAAAACUGUGAUUAAGGGGAUUCACUCCAGAAUUUAAAUGCAGUUGUCACUCCUGAAACUUUACAGUGUGUACGUGGCCCCUGUUAGCAUUAAUCAUAAGAUCCUCCAAAAGUAUUAUAUACCCAGACUCAACAUUCCACUAGACUCAAGAUUCCAUUCCUUUCCAUGUUUAUAGAUUCCUGAACAUUCAUUGUUCUUCCCUCCCCCUCUUUUCAUCACAGAAGAUAUGCUUUACUGCUUCCUUCAUCUCACUCCGCUUAGACCACUGAACAGAAACAACAGAUCAAUAACGUGACACUGAAUGACCUUUAGCUUCAAUUGUUUUGCUGCAUCCAUAUAAUGGGUAUAUAUAUACAUUAAAUGUAUAUAAUACAUUUAAUAAUCCAUUACAAAACGUCUUACAUUAUAAUUUCUUGUUUCUAUUAGAGCAUUAGGACUAUAUUUCCAUCAAGGGCAAACUUCUACUGUAAUAGUCUCUCAUUUUGGUCCAAGACUCGAAUCAAUUGAAUCAAUAGAAUGGUUAAGUUUAUCUAUUUUAUUUGAUAUAAAACUCAAAACAGUCCAUGCACUGUUAGUUAUUCUGCUGUGAUCUGCAUCAAGUCGAGCUCUCGUGGUUAGGCCUCUUCAAUCGCAUCCCCCGUGCAGAGUCAGGUUACUAUAACUACAGGUUGUCACCAUAGUGACCUGUUUCCAAGUUGCCCCUGUAGUUCUGAAGUCACCCUAGUGCAAGUCAGCAUAAACUGCCUAUCUAGACAGUGUUUGGAAUAAAAGUACACUAUGCUUAUUACUAUAUGGAAAAUAAACAAUCCACUGAAACAUCUGGGGACAUUAAUCUAAGAUAUGUUACAAAUUAAUAUAAUUAAGAAAACCAGAAGACUACAUAUUAACAAACAAUUACUGAAGUUCAUGUUACUCAUUUAUUUAAUCCAGUCCAUCUGUUAUUUAGUUAUUUACACUGUACCGUGGACAUUGGCUAAGUUUAAAAUAGCACAAUAUCAUUCUAUGCCUACGAUUUCUGUGAAAAGUCAAUUUACUUCAUUAACUUGUAUCUUUAUAUAUAUGUAAAAUGUGUAUCAAAGCUUUGGAAGAUCAAAUCAAUCAAAAUGUGUUAAGUAGUUAAAAAUCUAAAUAAUUAAAAAAAAAAUAAACAUAUCAUUUAAAUAAUAAUAAUAACAAUAAUUAAUAUUUUGACAUGUACACUGCAACAUAAUGAAAUGCAUAUUUUCCCAAGCAUUCUAGUUUCUGAAAAAAGAAAAUAAUUAUAUAUAUAUAUACACACACACACACACACACACACACACACACACACAUGGUAUAAAAUACCAAUAAACACAAAAAAAAAAGUACUGAAUAAAACUUAUGAAGAACAUGUACUUUUGUAACUUAAUAAGACACUUAAUAAAAGUAAGUAAGAACAUUAAUUUCUGUAACUGUGUGUUAAUAUGUAAUUUUUGGUUGUUGUUUUUUAUUUUAAUGUGUAAUAUAUUUGACAUGCACACUGCUAUCUAAAAUGUUACUAAUUUCCCAAACAUUUCAGUUACUGGAAUUAAGAAAAUUAUUAGUAAAAACAAUUAUGUAAAUUACAAACAAUUACAUAAAUGUGCUCAAUAAAAGUAGCGAAGAGCAUGAACUUCUGUAGUGUCUGUUAAUAUUUAUAAAUGUUCCCACACAUUCUAGUUUCUGUCUAGCUUUGUGGCUUGAUUUCUGGCUGCACUAAACCUGAGCUUUAAGGCCAUGGAAAUAUAUGAAAUACCUUUUGUAUUAAGGUACAGUAAUGUGUAUAAUGCGACUAAUAAAGUCAAAAGCUAAUGAAAACAUUAUCUCAGAUAGACGCUCUGGUUUCAUUUGUUGUGUAUCUUUUGUAGCCCUGCGGACAUGCAGAGAAAAGAAGAGCUGGCCUGCUUGCGUUCCCAAGAAAUCCACAGGUGGUCUACAGAGACAAUCGUCUGGCUUUUGAGUCUUUAUUGAGUUUGUAAAGCAAGUGAAAUAGCGGCAGGAGCACUGUGAAGGCCAUCAACACAACAAUUUAGUUUGAGCGAACACCUCCUGCUGCUUUGAUUAAAUUCCCAAAGAGCAGCUCGAUUACUGACCUUUCUGUUGACUGAUGUUCACGACUUUGACACCGCUGGACUUUGGGUCCUUUAAACUUUGUGGCAUUUGUAAAUGAUUUGGCACGUUUUAAAUGUUUGCUCAGGCCACUAGCUUAACAGGCAUUGCCAGCUAACGUCAGGCUGAUCUGCCAUUGACUGUUAUUGUUGUUCUAAUCUGACUGUAGAUCAAGAUCUUUACGUGGCUCAUGGAAACCACGGCACUGAGAUUUGUAAGAAUAACAAUCCAAGUGCUAGAAGCUAACUGUGUAAACCCUGAUAAGCUUUUGAUAGCUUUAUUGAAGCCACCCCGGAAAACAACAACGCAGAUAUAAUUUAGGAAUGUGUGAUAGUAUUGUUUUCUCUCUCUCUGGCUUGGUCCUAGAAUCACAUGGCAUCUUAAUCGCAUUACUCAAGGUGGCGGGUCGAAUGUGACUGCUACUGUUCUACACUAGCAAGUGGCCCAGUUUAUAGCACUAAUCCUGCUCUAAUACUAGCACAGCUGAUGUACUGUAACCUCUCACACACAUAAACUCCAUCAACCGUUGUAGUACUGUUGGCCCUUCAUUCAGAACUCCAUUGAAGGAUACCUUUUUAUCCCAAAGUUAGUUACAGCAUGUCACUUUAAGUGAUCAAAAUCUGCAAAUCUUGUGUCAGGCGAUUGAAAACGGUAGGGUUAAAUGGCAAAUGACAGUGUCCGCAUCAAAAAACAAAAACAAAACUCUUCGUAAUAUCUUCUUAUGUGUUCAACAGAAGAAAAGAAGCUCGUACAAGUUUCGAACAACUUGAGGGGGUGUAAAUUAUCACUGAAUUUUCUUUUUUUUGGUGAACUAUCCUAACAUGUGACUAACAUGUAACAAGUUCUUAUAUUCUCUUUGGAUCCAUGCUGGUUUUAUAUGGGUUUUUUUCCCCUUACACAAUGAAUACAUGUGCACAUACUUAUCAUUUUAAAAUAAAAUAAAAUAAAAAUAUAAAAUACUGUAAGGUAAAAAAGUUUUUAUUAAUUAUCAGAAGUAUACCGGGGCAUCAGUUUACUGUCCGCAUUCACUGUAGAUAGUAUAUAUAAUGGGUUCUAUACUGUUGUCUUUUGUCGAGUUGCACCGCGCAGCACUCACGUCUGAGGAAGACACGGAAGCACCGGGGCAGCGCCGCGGGUUUUUCCCGGGGAUGAACCCGAGAGAGUGGAAGAGCUCUGGAGAACAUCUGCACUGUGUGUCGAUGCACCUUACGAGAGAAUAAGACCAGGAAGCAAGGCAACUGCAAUGAAGCAUCAAGAAAGACAUGAACAUGCCAGCCACCCUGAGACUGAUAAUUUAUGAGAAGACAUUUCUGUCACUAACAAAGUGGAUGGUGAGCAAAGAUGGUGGCCACGUUUUGGAGCAGCACCUGGGUUUUGCAGAUAGCUAUGUAUUCUUUGGCUGCUUGUCUUUUUCCCCCCAUUAUGUUUCUGUUGCCUAAGAUUCUUUGUGAGGAUAAGUCCACAGGAUACAACAUAAUGCACUGCAAAACAUCGUAAAACAGGAGAAAUGGUGAAGAUGCACUGUUUCAGCAU
Long non-coding RNA from Onychostoma macrolepis, 8517 nucleotides. RefSeq lists it as uncharacterized. The transcript has 4 exons. The record is from RefSeq and is a predicted model, not a curated record. NCBI's taxonomy places the organism in Eukaryota, Metazoa, Chordata, Actinopteri, Cypriniformes, Cyprinidae.